AUGGGGUGUGCUAAGGCGAUCGACGAGGCGAAGCUGCAAGACUUGUUGUCCUUAAAAGAUGAUGUGGGAAUCAUGCAGAAAGACCAGUCGCAGAUGCAAGCGGACAUGGCCAAAUUGCACGAUGAGGUGCACUCCAUCAGCUCCAAGCAAGGGGAGAUUGCAACACAGGUGGGCAGUGUCGAGCAAGUGGUUCUGGAUCUGGGCAAGCAACUUUCCACUAUCAACUCAGUGUUACAAGCCUUGGUCAAAGCACCAGUUCAGGGAAAUCCUACGGAUAUUCCUUCAAGCUCCCAACAGAGGCCUAGAUCACCAACAGUGUCGCAGGAGCAGUUGCAAAACCAAACACUCAGAACAGAGCAAUUAAAACAGCAAUUGGAAGCAGAAAAAGAGAAAACAAGACAGAUGGAAGAAUUACAACUCCACAAUCUUCCUCCAGUCAGAAUUAACAAACCAGCAGUUCCUCCUAGAUAUGAACAACAGGCAGAACAGAGCAGGCAAGUCCUCUUGGUACUCCACUCAGAACACAUCAGCCUUACACUCCUGCAUUCCAGCAGUACAACCUCCAAAACAGGGAUAGGCAGUUAUGGCAAGGAUAUGCAAAAAUAUAUAAACAAGACAUGCAAUGUCAAUUCAUGA
This 636-nucleotide ribosomal RNA is filed under the name Triticum aestivum (bread wheat). RNAcentral's name for it is "partial small subunit ribosomal RNA". The record is from RNAcentral. Lineage: Eukaryota; Viridiplantae; Streptophyta; Magnoliopsida; Poales; Poaceae.